UGAGUACUCCCUCCGUCCGGAAAAACUUGUCCCAAGCUUGUUUGUCAAAUGGAUGUAUCUAGCACCAACUUGGUGCUAAAACUUGUCCCUCAAAUGGAUAUAUCUAGCACCAAGUUGGUGCUAGAUACAUCCAUUUGACAAACAAGCUUGGGACAAGUUUUUCCGGACGGAGGGAGUAGAAA
Non-coding RNA from Triticum aestivum (bread wheat), 182 nucleotides. The record is from Rfam. Lineage: Eukaryota; Viridiplantae; Streptophyta; Magnoliopsida; Poales; Poaceae.